UAAGUGUCUAAGGGCACACGGUGGAUGUCUAGGCAUCAGGAGCCGAUGAAGGACGUAGGAGGCUGCGAUAAGCCUCGGGGAGCUGCCAACCGAGCUGUGAUCCGAGGGUGUCCGAAUGGGGAAACCCGGCACCAGUCAUGUGGUGUCACCCGCAUCUGAAUAUAUAGGGUGUGUGGAGGGAACGCGGGGAAGUGAAACAUCUCAGUACCCGUAGGAAGAGAAAACAACCGUGAUUCCGUGAGUAGUGGCGAGCGAAAGCGGAGGAGGCUAAACCGUGCACGUGUGAUACCCGGCAGGGGUUGCGUGUGCGGGGUCGUGGGACCUUUCUGACAGUUCUGCCGGAUUGUCGAGGAGUGAGAAAACACCAUGGUUAGUGGAAUGCGCUGGGAUGCGUGACCGUAGAGGGUGAGAGUCCCGUACGCGAAAAUCUGGUGUCUCCUGAGAGUGUUCCCAAGUAGCAGCGUACUCGUGAAAUUCGCUGUGAAUCUGGCGGGACCACCCGCUAAGCCUGAAUACUUCCUGAUGACCGAUAGCGGACUAGUACCGUGAGGGAAAGAUGAAAAGUACCCCGGGAGGGGAGUGAAAGAGUACCUGAAACCGUGUGCCUACAAGCCGUCAGAGCCUUUUGGGGUGAUGGCGUGCCUUUUGAAGAAUGAGCCUGCGAGUUAGUGCUGCGUGGCGAGGUUAACCCGUGUGGGGUAGCCGUAGCGAAAGCGAGUCCGAAUAGGGCGGUUGAGUCGCGUGGUCUAGACCCGAAGCGGAGUGAUCUACCCAUGGCCAGGGUGAAGCGUCGGUAAGACGUCGUGGAGGCCCGAACCCACCAGGGUUGAAAACCUGGGGGAUGAGCUGUGGGUAGGGGUGAAAGGCCAAUCAAACUCCGUGAUAGCUGGUUCUCCCCGAAAUGCAUUUAGGUGCAGCGUCAUGUGUUUCACCAUGGGGGUAGAGCACUGGAUGGUCUAGGGGGCCUACAAGCUUACCGAAAUCAACCAAACUCCGAAUACCGUGGUGUGAGAGCGUGGCAGUGAGACUGCGGGCGAUAAGGUUCGUAGUCGAGAGGGAAACAGCCCAGAACACCAGCUAAGGCCCCUAAGUGUGCGCUAAGUGGGAAAGGAUGUGGGGUCGCCCAGACAACCAGGAGGUUGGCUUAGAAGCAGCCACCCUUGAAAGAGUGCGUAAUAGCUCACUGGUCAAGUGGUCCUGCGCCGACAAUGUAGCGGGGCUUAAGCGCACCGCCGAAGCUGUGUCAUUCACAUAUUACAUUCGCUCACAUGCUUGACGUGUGGGUGCAGUGGUGUGGAUGGGUAGGGGAGCGUCGUGUCACCGGGGAAGCGGCGGAGUGAUCCAGCCGUGGAGGUGACGCGAGUGAGAAUGCAGGCAUGAGUAGCGAAUGACGAGUGAGAACCUCGUCCGCCGAAUGACCAAGGGUUCCUGGGCCAGGCUAAUCCGCCCAGGGUAAGUCGGGACCUAAGGCGAGGCCGACAGGCGUAGUCGAUGGACAACGGGUUGAUAUUCCCGUACCCGUGUGGACGCGUCCCUGGUGAGGUCGGUGAUACUAACCGCCCGAAGCGACUGGUCUCUUCGGAGAUUGGGAGUGGAGCGCGGGAUCUGAUCCGGUAGUAGCCAAACGAUGGGGUGACGCAGGAGGGUAGCUCCGCCAGCUGUUGGUGUCUGGUGUAAGCGUGCAGCCCGCGACAUAGGCAAAUCCGUGUCGCAUGAGGGUGAGGCGUGAUGCAUAGCCGAUUGAGGCGAAGUAGAGUGAUCCCAUGCUGCCGAGAAAAGCCUCUAGUGAGUUUCCACGCGGCCCGUACCCCAAACCGACACAGGUGGUCAGGUAGAGAAUACCGAGGCGAUCGGGUGAACUAUGGUUAAGGAACUCGGCAAAAUGCCCCCGUAACUUCGGGAGAAGGGGGGCCACAGCGCUUGAAGCUCCUUGCGGGCUAGGGCGAGGUGGCCGCAGAGACCAGCGAGAAGCGACUGUUUACUAAAAACACAGGUCCGUGCGAAGUCGCAAGACGAUGUAUACGGACUGACGCCUGCCCGGUGCUGGAACGUUAAGAGGACGGGUUAGUCCCUUUGGGGGCGAGGCUCAGAAUUUAAGCGCCAGUAAACGGCGGUGGUAACUAUAACCAUCCUAAGGUAGCGAAAUUCCUUGUCGGGUAAGUUCCGACCUGCACGAAUGGCGUAACGACUUCUCGACUGUCUCAACCAUAGGCCCGGCGAAAUUGCACUACGAGUAAAGAUGCUCGUUACGCGCGGCAGGACGGAAAGACCCCGGGACCUUUACUAUAGCUUGGUAUUGGUGCUUGGUUCGGUUUGUGUAGGAUAGGUGGGAGACUGUGAAGUCCGCACGCCAGUGUGGGUGGAGUCAAUCUUGAAAUACCACUCUGAUCGUACUGAGUGUCUAACUUCGGACCGUGAUCCGGUUCAGGGACAGUGCCUGGUGGGUAGUUUAACUGGGGCGGUUGCCUCCCAAAGGGUAACGGAGGCGCCCAAAGGUUCCCUCAGCCUGGUUGGCAAUCAGGUGUUGAGUGCAAGUGCACAAGGGGGCUUGACUGUGAGACUGACAGGUCGAGCAGGGACGAAAGUCGGGACUAGUGAUCCGGCGCUGGCUGGUGGAAGCGGCGUCGCUCAACGGAUAAAAGGUACCCCGGGGAUAACAGGCUGAUCUUGCCCAAGAGUCCAUAUCGACGGCAUGGUUUGGCACCUCGAUGUCGGCUCGUCGCAUCCUGGGGCUGGAGUAGGUCCCAAGGGUUGGGCUGUUCGCCCAUUAAAGCGGUACGCGAGCUGGGUUUAGAACGUCGUGAGACAGUUCGGUCCCUAUCCGCCGCGCGCGUUGGAGACUUGAGGAAGGCUGUCCCUAGUACGAGAGGACCGGGACGGACGAACCUCUGGUGUGCCAGUUGUCCCGCCAGGGGCAUGGCUGGUUGGCUACGUUCGGAAGGGAUAACCGCUGAAGGCAUCUAAGCGGGAAGCUCGUUCCAAGAUGAGGUCUCCUGCCCCCUUUGAGGGGUUAAGGCCCCCAGCUAGACCACUGGGUUGAUAGGCCAGAGAUGGAAGCCCUGUAAGGGGUGGAGUUGACUGGUACUAAUAGGCCGAGGGCUUGC
This 3104-nucleotide ribosomal RNA is filed under the name Actinokineospora sp. NBRC 105648. Its description in RNAcentral is "23S ribosomal RNA". It matches the Rfam family "Bacterial large subunit ribosomal RNA". Lineage: Bacteria; Bacillati; Actinomycetota; Actinomycetes; Pseudonocardiales; Pseudonocardiaceae. The record is from RNAcentral.